GGUGUCUCGAGAGGGAUG
RNAcentral lists this small RNA (18 nucleotides) under Bombyx mori (domestic silkworm). Its description in RNAcentral is "ovarian small RNA-17579". Lineage: Eukaryota; Metazoa; Arthropoda; Insecta; Lepidoptera; Bombycidae. The record is from RNAcentral.